This 72-nucleotide transfer RNA is filed under the name Phrynosoma platyrhinos (Desert horned lizard). RNAcentral's name for it is "tRNA-OTHER". Lineage: Eukaryota; Metazoa; Chordata; Lepidosauria; Squamata; Phrynosomatidae. The record is from RNAcentral.
GCCAGCAUGGUCUAGUGGUUUGAGCUUUGGACUAUGACUCUGGAGUUCAAGGUUCAAAUCCCUGCUUAGCCA